UACGGAGGGAGCUAGCGUUGUUCGGAAUUAUUGGGCGUAAAGCGCACGUAGGCGGCUUUUCAAGUCCCAUGUGAAAGCCCACGGCUUAACCGUGGAAGUGCAUGGGAAACUGGAAAGCUUGAGUACUUAAGAGGAUCGCGGAAUUCCCGGUGUAGAGGUGAAAUUCGUAGAUAUCGGGAGGAACACCAGUGGCGAAGGCGACUACCUGGACCAGCACUGACACUGAGGCACGAAAGCGUGGGGAGCAAACAGG
Molecule: ribosomal RNA, 253 nt
Filed under: uncultured bacterium
Lineage: Bacteria
Description: partial 16S ribosomal RNA
Rfam family: Bacterial small subunit ribosomal RNA
Source: RNAcentral